Molecule: long non-coding RNA, 658 nt
Organism: Drosophila simulans
Lineage: Eukaryota; Metazoa; Arthropoda; Insecta; Diptera; Drosophilidae
Exons: 2
Source: RefSeq, a predicted model, not a curated record
CUUACCUAAUUAAUCGAGUGCAGAUCCUGUUAACAAAAUGGACGCCAACUUUUUUGUCAGCUCUAGUUUGUUUUGUCCAAUUAAUUAUGACUUCGUAUUGUGUUUACUUAAUUUAUGCGUGCAUAAGCACCACCAAUUAGCGAAAACAAGGAACCCAUUAUAUUGAAUUGUCAAUUUCCGGCGCGCUGCAAGUGCCGUUAAUUGCAUUUUGCAUGCCGCGGGGAAAUUCCGGCGCACGAAGAAACAGCUUCAUUGCGUGUCCACGAGGCGAGGACCUCCGCCAAAACGCCAAAAAAGAAAGAAACCGAAAAGAUCGAGACACCUACAGCAUGAAUUUAUGGCCAGGCGAUAAGCGCCGGCCAGGAGGAAAAUCCGCCUGGUGCCCAAAAUUGGACAAGGAACGUGUGCGUCGGACGGGCGGAGAAUUUAGUAGCUGUCAAGGCAUCAGCUGUGGCCCCUGGAAACACCUACAAAGCCACGAAACCUCCAUGCUUGCCAAAUCCCAAGAUGAAGCCAAGUCGGAGCGAACCUAAGGCCAAAGUCGGAGCAAGAGUUGAGGCGUCGGCGCACGCAAGGAGUGAGCCACAGUUCAAAAUCUUCUGUUAUCUGAGAGCAAAUAUUCAAGGAAGAACAACUCUGCGGAUAUAAAAAUUAAAAA